UUCCGGUUGAUCCUGCCGGAGGUCACUGCUAUUGGGGUUCGGCUAAGCCAUGCGAGCGGAGGGCGCGGUCGCAAGAUCGUGGCCCCGCACACGGCUCAGUAACACGUAGUUAACCUACCCUUGGGACGGGGACAACGCCGGGAAACUGGCGAUAAUCCCCGAUAGGUGAGGGACGCUGGGAUGCCUCCUCGCUCAAAGCUCCGGCGCCCGAGGAUGGGACUGCGGCCUAUCAGGCUGUUGGUGGUGUGACGGACCACCAAACCUACGACGGGUACGGGCGAUGGGAGUCGGAGCCCGGAGAUGGGGACUGAGACAAGGCCCCAGGUCCUACGGGGCGCAGCAGGCGCGAAAACUCCGCAAUGCGCGCAAGCGUGACGGGGGAACCCCAAGUGCCGUUGGUCUUUUGAUCGACGGCUUUUCGGAAGUCUAAGAAGCUUCCGGAAUAAGGGCUGGGUAAGGCUGGUGCCAGCCGCCGCGGUAACACCAGCAGCCCAAGUGGUGGCCGCGAUUAUUGGGCCUAAAGCGCUCGUAGCCGGAUCAGCAAGUCCUUUGUGAAAUCGGGCCGCCCAACGGUUCGGCGUGCAAAGGAUACUGUUGGUCUUGAGACCGGGAGAGGUCGGAGGUACUCUUGGGGUAGCGGUGAAAUGCUGUAAUCCUAGGGGGACCACCAGUGGCGAAGGCGUCCGGCCAGAACGGAUCUGACGGUGAGGGGCGAAGGCUAGGGGAGCGAACGGGAUUAGAUACCCCGGUAGUCCUAGCUGUAAAGCAUGCGGGCCAGGUGUCUAGUGCUCCUCGAGGGCGCUAGGUGCCGGAGGGAAGCCGUUAAGCCCGCCGCCUGGGAAGUACGGCCGCAAGGCUGAAA
RNAcentral lists this ribosomal RNA (862 nucleotides) under uncultured archaeon. RNAcentral describes it as "bacterial SSU rRNA". It matches the Rfam family "Archaeal small subunit ribosomal RNA", at positions 1 to 854 of the family's 1478-position model. The record is from RNAcentral.